CCCCUGUCCGAAAUGCAAACCUCUCUCGCCACCUUAUUCGGCGCUCGAUGUCGGUGAUCAAGCGAACACUAUCCGGCCGCGACCGCGUCGAUAGCUCCGGACGCCGGCUGUCUGACGCCAUGCGCGGAAGGGCCGAUUGGUUUGUCAUUGCCUCCUCUGGGCAGUAUUUUUACGAGACAGGUGACCCCAGCCAUUAUCAAUACGCUUCAGAGAUUGUCUACCUGACGUCAGUAGCCUCAUAACCAAGACUUAUGAUAUGUACCAGCUGCUCAUAUGACCAUCCACCAUACGAUCUCGCUGCCCAGCCCAAAGCUGUUCUCGACUUGUACAAAUCAACUCAAGUGCUUAGAGCGAUCCAACCUCACACGUGGGUUAGUUGGAUGGGCAUUGAAGCUGCUCUCUGAAUCGCUCACUCCAACUCUAUCUGCGUCGAUUUUGCAAUGCACCAGAACGGCUUAUUCCUCAAAUUGGCUUUGCCUUUGCUUACUCCUUCAUUGUUUGCAGUGAUAGUCUACCACAAUUUACUUUAGAAAAAGUGUGAUUAAUGAUGUUUUCAGUUGAAUUUCUUGCCUUUCGAACUAUCAGUAAGAUGAUGCUAGUCUUCAGUAGUGCCAUCUUAAACUUCUUAGGAUAAAUACCAUCCCUUUUCUCCCUCAGACUAAUCUCAUACUCCCGGUAUUACUAGUACAACUUUCCUUAGGUAGUGUACACAAUGUAUUCAGGGUGCAGUUAACAAGCAUUGUGGUUCUGAUGCAGGGUAUCAAGCUGAAAUUGCAACAGUUAAUUUCCUCUUGCAGGUGCUCCUUAACUCACUCAAUUCCAUUAGUAGAUUGGUGCUCCAGAUUCCAGCAUCUGCAGUCUCAUGUGUCUCCAUGGCCAUACCAAGGUCCAAUACAAUUACAGUAAAAUGUCUUUACUCUUUUACUCAAAUCCUUUGCAAUAAAAUAUUUUUGUUCAAUGAUAUCCAGAUGUCCCACUACUCGAAAAUGCUCUACGUUUCUGUUUUCUGUCCCAAUGUGAAUAACAUCACAUAUUUCCACAUUUUACUCCAUCUUAGAAUUAGUUUAAUUUCACUGACAUACAGUAUUCAUGAUUUUUUUUUGUUUUGGGCAGCAGUACAUUGCAAUACAUAUUAAUUUAAAAAAAUUAAUUGCAUAAAUAGUACAAAAAGAAAACAGAAGAAAAUAUUGAAGUAGUGUAGAAAGGUUAAUUUUCCAUUCAGAAGUCUGGUGGCGGAGGGGAAGAAGCUCCUGUGCUGUUACCUAGUCUGUAUCUCUUUGAAGCAUCUUUGUGUCCUCAUGACUGCUCACAUUUCCAAUAAAUUUCUCACCAUCAAUAAACCCCAAUGACUUGACGGUCCCAAUGGCUCAGGUCCAGUUAGGGGAAUCGGGUUGCUUUGUGAUAAUUUUGCCCUAGUUCUCUGUUUUAUCCAUCCCUAACUCCCUGUACUUCUCUCUCCACUUUUUCACCUAACUUUUGUUCACCCAUCUCAAUGUGACUUAAUAUGAAACAUUGUUCAAUAUGCAUUUAGUAAGUUAAAGGAUUUGAUAAAUAAUAUUUGUUGUUGAUGCUGCUUGUCAUGCUGUAAUAAUGACAUCCUGCCACAGAUGGUGCAAUGGUGCAUCAGUUGUGCUGCUCCCCCCCCCCCCCCCCCUCCCACUGUGCUGUAUGGAUAAGCUUACAAACUUUACCACCAGUUCUUCAUAAUUCUGCUUCCAAACUUGCUGAGUUUUUAAUUACUUAACAAUGACUAUAAAUUAUGGUAUAAUGGAAAGCAGAAUGGUAUAAACAUGAGAUUAGAGGCCUGUAAUAUAUCAACCCAAAAUGGCAGCAUCCUCCUCCUGCUUUCUAGCUCUGACUCCUCAUCUUACCUUCUCCAGUCCUGAUGAAGGGUCUUGGCUUGAAACAUAGACUAUACUCUUUUCCAUAGAUGCUGCCUGGCCUGCUGAGCUCCUCUAGCAUUUUAUGUGUGUUGCUUGGAUUUCCAGCAUCUGCAGAUUUUCUUAUGCCUGUAUUAUAUCAUGUGCUCUGUUUACUCCCGCCAUUUUACCUAUCUACCUGAGUCAAACAUAUCUUGACCUGUAUUGACAAUUAGUUUGCUUGCCUGGUUCAAAUUCAAUCUCUACAGGCCUCAUCCAGCCAUAGUUGUGGCCUAAGAGUAGCAAUUUAGUUCCGUUGACUGGAUCUAUCGUCUUUACAGCAGUGGAGAACGUGGGCAUCACAGAGUAAGGCAGCCCUGAGGAGAUGAGAGACCAUUAACUUCAGUAUUUGAUUUAACAAUUGGUAUCUGGUUUUCCAGUCAGUAAGAGGUCAAUAUCUAUAAGCAGACCAGUGCAGAUGACUUCUCCUUUUUCCCUAAAUUAUCUGCUUAUCCCAUUACAUAUGAAUUAAGACUAUUUAUUUAUUUAGCAAAACAGUGCUGAGUAGGGCCUUCGGCACUGUGAGUCACACUGCCCCAGCGACCCCCCGACAAACCUGAUGAACUCUAACCUAAUCACGAGACAGUUUACAAUGAUCAAUUAACCUACCUGGUAUGCCUUUGGCCUGAGGGAGGAAACCGGAGCAUCUGGGGAAAACCCAAGCAUUCCGUGAUGAGGGUGUACAGACAGUGCUGGAAUUGAACUCCAAUCUCUGGAAUGUCCCAAGCUGCAAUAUCAUUGUACUAAACUCUAUGGCACCCAUUAGAUUACGUUGGAUAGUUUUCUUUGGCAAUUUUUCAGGUGAUUCAUCUUCACAAUUUGACUUGAUACUAAAAUGCAUUCAAUAUAAUUUGAGACAGUCCAGUGUAGUAAUGAUAUUAAUAAUUAUUUUGAUGAACUCAAUUUUUGUGAUUAAUAAGGAGAUUACUGUGUAAGUACAAAAUAAAGAUCCCAAGAUCCUGGAACAGUUUGGUAGCUUGACAAGCUGUAACCAAAACCUCAAAGGCAGGGUUACUGAGGUGUUAACAGUGCAUUUUAUUGAUCAAUAAUUCACUUUACUCCUCCCAUUCUACUUCAUAAUUCUGUCCCAAUACCAGCUAAUGCCACAUCUACUGUAAAACAAAAAAGUCUCAAAUCAUGGUUUGAAGUAAUCUUUAUAUUUUGAAAUAGAAUCUGAUUUAUUGGCACUGAUAUUAGCCAUGACACUUUUUUGUGGCAGCAGUACAGUGCAGGCAUAACAAAUUACUAUAAGUUACAAAAAGCUGCACUGAGGGUACACGGCGGCUGUUGUGUCUGUGGGCGCUGCGACUUUUGCACCGUUCUGCAGUGAACUGAGGCUGAGGUCGUGGUUUCCAGCUGCUCUGGGCUUCAUGUCUGUGGAUUCACUUUCAUUCCAAAUGAUAUUUACUUACUUUUAUUGUUUGCACGAUUUCUUUUCCCCUGUCUGCAUAUUGGAUGUUUGUUGGUCUUUUUUAUGGGUUCUUUUGGGUUUCUUUGUUUUGUAGCUGCCUGUGAGGAGAUGGAUAAAAGUGUAUACACACUUUUAUAAUAAAUGUACUUUGAACUUUUAAAAAAUAAUGCAAAUGAGGAAUAGCUAAGUUCAUGGGUUCAUGCACCUUUCAUAUAUAUGAUGGCAGAAGAGAAGAAGCAGUUCCUGAAACAAUGAGUCAACAGCUUUAAGAUAUUUAACAAAAACAUUUUAAUUUAUGCAGCUGGAGUAUUUUUGUACAAAAAUUUUAAAUAUUAUAUAUUAUUCUAUCAAGACUGUCAAUGAGAAUAUCUAUGCAGUAUGACAGCAUAGUAAAUGAACAUUAAGUUACUGUCUGGAUUUUCAUCUUUAAAAGGUACACAAAAGUUCUGUAUGAAUAAUUCUGUAAAUAUAUGAUACAAAAGAGACAGCAAAAAGGUGAUGUGUAGAAUGUGUAGAGUUUUCUCCAGUUUAAAUAUUCAAGAGCUAUGAGCCAUUAUUCUCAGUAAACGGUCAUAAACUUCUUGCCUGACCAAUAAGUUAAUCGCUUUGUCUGACCCAGUUCUGAUCAUUCACAACCUUGGAACUGAGCCUGAUCUUGAUGAACGCUUCCAACCCCUUAACUGAUUCCUAUCUAAAACUGCCUGUUUCUAUCUGUUACCAAUUACACUUCUCCAUAGCUGGAGCUCAUACAAAACUUUGCAAUCCUCGUUCUCAAUCUACAUCAUCAGAUUCAACAUAGUCGUAGAGUCAUAGAAGACUACAGCACAAAAGCAGGCCCUUCAGCCUUUCUAGUCUGUGCCUGACUAUUAAUCUGACUAGUCCCAUCAACGUUAAACAAUUCACCUUUCACCAAUGACCUCUAGUUAUAGUCUCAUUCAAUCUCAAUGGAAAAAGCCUGCUUGCAUUUCCCUAUCUAUACUCUUCCUAAUUUUGUAUACCUCUAUCAAAUCUCCUCUCAAUUUUCCAUAUUCUAGGGAAUAAAGUCCUAACCUACUUAACCUUUCCAUAUAACUCAGGUCCUCAAGUCCCAGCAACAUCCUUGUAAAUUUUCUCUGCACCGUUUCAAUCUUAUUUACAUCUUUCCCAUAGGUAGGUGACCAAAAUUGGACACAGCACUCCAAAUUAGGCCUCACUAUCGUCUUAACAGUUUCAACAUAAAAUCCCAACUCCUGUACUCAAUACAUUGAUUUACGAAGACCAGUGUGCCUUUACAACCCCAUCUACAUCUGAAUUGAAUUGAAUUGACUUUAUUUCUUACAUCAUUCACACACGAGGAGUAAAAAGCUUUACGUUACAUCUCCAUCUGAAUGUGCUGUGUGCAGUCAUAGUAAUUUAUAAUAAAUAGACCAGUCAAUGUAACAUAGAAAUACACUCAAAUCAGGGUGAGUUAAUCAGUCUGAUGGCCUGGUGGAAGAAGCUGUCCCGGAGCCUGUUGGUCCUGGCUUUUAUGCUGCAGUACUGUUUCCCAGAUGGUGGCAGCUGGAAUAAAUUUUGGUUGGGGUGACUUGGGUCCCCAAUGAUUCUUCAGGCCCUUUAUUCACACCUGUCUUUGUAAAUGUCCUGAAUCAUGGGAAGUUCACAACUACAGAUGUACGGGCUGUCCGCAUCACUCUCUGCAGAAUCCUGCGAUUAAGGGAGGUACAGUUCCCAUACCAGGCAGUGAUGCAGCCAGUUAGGAUGCUCUCAAUUGUGACCCUGUAGAAAGUCCUUAGGAUUUGGGGGCCCAUACCAAACUUCUUCAACCAUCUGAGGUGAAAGAGACGCUGGUGUGCCUUUUUUAUCACACGGCUGGUGUGUACACACCACGUGAGGUCCUCGGUGAUGUGGAUGCCAAGGAACUUAAAGCUGUUUACUAUUUCAACCCCAGAUCUGUUGAUGCCAAAAGGGGUUAGCCCAUCUCCAUUCCUCCUGUAAUCCACAACCAGCUCCUUUGUUUUUGCGACAUUAAGGGAGACGUUGUUUUCUUGAAACCACUGUGUCAGAGAGAUGACUUCUUUCCUGUCAACCACCUCGUUAUUGUUUGAGAUUAGGCCAACCAAGCCAUUUUCAAACUAUGCCAUUUUCAAGGAAUUAUGGAUCUAUAUUUCCAGAUCACUCUGUUCUAGUGCGCUCCCCAGUGUCUUACCACACAUCAUGUUAAACCUACCAUAACUGGUCCUCUCAAAGUGUAAAACCUCGCACUUGUCUGCAUUAAAUUCCACCUGCCAUUUUUACAGCUGGGACAGGUCUUGCUGCAAGCUCUGAGAGUCUUUCUCACUGUCCACUACACUACCAAUCUUGGCUUCAUCUGAUCCAAUUUACCACAUUAUCAUCCAGAUUGUUGAUAUAGAUGACAAACAACGGACCCAGCACUGUUCCCUGCAGCACACCAUUAGUGACACUCUCCACUACCGCUCUCUGGCUAAUGUCUAAUCCAAUUUACUACCCCAUCUUGAAUGGCAAAUGAUUGAACCUUCUUGACCAACCUCCCAUGCGGGACCUUGUCAAAGGCCUUGCUAAAGUCCAUGUAGACAAUAUCCAUUGACUUACCUUCAUCAAGAUUCCUGAUAUUCCUCAAAAAAACUCCAAAAAUGUCAUAUCUUACAAUGCUCAAAGCCAUGUUGACUAUCCUUAAUUAAUCCCUGUCUAUCUAAAUAUUUGUAUAUCUGGACCCUUAAAACCGCUGCAGACAACUUUUCUGCCACUGAUGUCAGGCUCUCUGGCCUAUAAUUUCUUGGUUUAUUUUUAGAGUCUUCCUUUAACAGCAGAACACCAUGAGCUAUUCUCCAUUCCUCUGGCUUUCAAAGGAUGUUUGAAAUAUGUCUGCUAGGGCCCCUGUAAUUUUUACACUUGCCUUCCAUAGGAUCCGGGGUGGGGCAUCUUGCCAGACCCGGGGAUUUAUCCACUCUAUUUUGCCUCAGGACAGCAAAUACCUCCUCCUCUGUUAUCUCUAUAGGGUCCAUGCGCUCGUUGCUGCAUUGCUUCACAUUUAUAGACACUCUCCAUCUUCUGAGUAAAUACGAUGCAAAAAAUCCACUAAAGAUCUCCCCCUCUUUUGGCUCCAAGCAUAGAUUACCACUCUUCUUCUCAAAGAUCAAUUUUGUCCCUGCUGUUCUUUUGCUUUUAAUAUAUCAGCAGAAGGAUGCCCCCUCAUCUUGUCUGCUAGAGCAACCUCAUGUCUUCUUUUAGCCCUCCUGAUUUUUUUUCUUGUGUCCUCUUACAUUUCUUAUAUUCCUUAAGUACUCCAUUUGUUCCUACCUGCUUAUAGCUGCUGUUCACCUCCUUCUUUUGCUUAACCAGGGACUCAAUAUCUUUUGAAAACUGAGGUUUCCUAAACCUGUUUUCCUUGCCUUUUAUUCUGACAGGAACUCUGUACAAAAUUCCACUUAUCAAAUACACCUUAGCCAGAAAACAACCUAUCCCAAUCCACAUUUGCCAGAUCCAUACUGAUACUAUCAAAAUUGACCUUUCUCCAAUUUUGAAUCUCAACCCGAGGACCAGACCUAUCCUUUUCCAUAAUUACCUUGGAACUAAUGGCAUUAUUAUCACUAGGUACGAAGUGUUACCCUACACAAAUUUCUGCCAUUUUCUAAUAGGAGAUCUAAUGUCACACUCUUGUCUAGUUGGGACUUUUGUGUACUUGUUAAGGAAACUUUCCUGAGCACACCUGACAAACUUUCCCAUCAAGCCCCUUUACGGUAUAGGAUACCCAGUAAAUAUGUGGAUGGUUAAAAUCAGUUGCUAUCAUAACCUUAUAUAUUUUGCACCAGUCUUCACACUCUCUCUACAAAUUUGCUCCUCUAAAUGCUGCUAACUGUUGGUUGGUCUAUAAUAAUGUGGUCAUAUUUUUCUUAUUCCUCAGUUCUACUUGUAAAGCCUCACAAGAUGAGCUCUCCAGUCUGUCCUGACUGGUAAAUGAUUGAACAUUUUACCUGACUGGUAAAGCCACCCUUUAAUUCCUCCUGCUCUUUACUUCUAAAACAAUGGAAUCCAAGAACAAUGAGGUGCCAGUCCGGCCCCUUCUGCCACCAAGUUUCACUAAUGGCUACAAUUCCACUUGCUGAUCCAUCCCCUAAGCUCAUCCACCUUUCCUACAAUACUCCUUGCAUUGAAAUAUAAGCAGCUCAGAACAUUAGUCCACUAUGCUCAACCUUUGAUUCCUGACCUUGUAUGUAGGCUUAACAAAAUCUUUCUCUGCAACCACUUCACUAUUUAUUCUGCCCCCUGCAACUGUAGUUUAGUCUAGUAGGUCCAAUACAACCCCUCCUAUUGUUGGACUUCUGACUUGAUUUAAGAAACCCUCCUGGAUGCACCUAACAAAUUCUGCCCUAUCUAAACCUCUUGCACUAAGAAGGUCCCAGUUCAUAUUAAGGAAGUGGAAAUCCCCCAUGACAACAACCCUAUUUUUACAUCUUUCCUUAAUCUGCCUUCAUCUCUGUAUCUCAGUGUUCCUCAAUCUGUCAUGCACUUGGCCCUGACACACCUAGAAAACAAGGACACUUAUGUCAGAAUGCUGUUUCUGGAUUUUAUUUCAGUAUUCAACCCACAGACCUUGGUGAACAAACUGCUACUUCUUAGUCUAAAUAACAAAUUAUUUAGACUAAGUUUGGUCUUCCUAACCACCAAACUUCAGAUAGUCAGGAUGCAUAAUCUCUCCUCCCUCCCCAUCAUCCUCAACAUGGGUGUGCCCCAGGGCUGUGUGCUGAUCCCACUGCUGUACAGUCUGCUCACGUGACUGCAUGGCUAAACACCCAAGUAAUCACAUUGUCAGGUUCACCGAUGACCACGACAGCAGUGGGGCUCAUCACCAACAACAAUGUGACAGCCGACAGAGGGAGAAGAGCUCGAGGCCUGGUGCCAGGCAAAUAACCUCUUCCUCAAUGUCAACAAGAUGAAGAAGAUGGUUAUCGACUUCAGGAGAACUUACACCACUCACACCCUUGUUUACAGCAGUGGAAACUGAAAGCAGUUUCAAACUCCUGGGAGCACACAUCAUGCACAAUCUCUCAUGGUAGCGGAACACAUUCUACACAGUCAAGAAAGCUCUGAGGACGCUGAACAGAGCUGGACUAUGCACAUCUAUACUCACGUCCUUCAAAUGGCCAGCAUCCUAACAUGCUUCAUCACUGCAAGGUACUAUUGCAGUAAGGGUUCACCCUCCCCGUGCAAGCUGAGGAUUUGCCCAUUUAAGGAGCAUUGCAGCCCUUCCAUUGGCUGCCGUUUGGCACUCAUGCCAGCUGAUGGCUUCAUGGCACAGGUAGAGUAUAAAACUAGCAUGCUGAAAGCACUUGUUGUGCUUUGCUCUCUGGGUCAUCAUGAGCCAGCUCAUGGAUAGUGCCAUGGAAAUUAGAAGUGUGCUGCAGUAGAGAGGGCCCAAAAAUACACUUUAGGUAAGUAUUUGUAACUGAGUGUAUCUUGAAUGUUUUGCAUUUGUCAGUCCUGUAAAUAAAUGGGUAACAUAUUUAGUAUCUUUUGUCCCCACUCACUGAACCCUCAAACCUGAUUUCACACGAUUGUCACUGCGAGCAGGGUUCAGAGCUUGAACAGAUUAACCCACCCACCCACCUAUGAUUGAGGAGUGCAGAGUAUCAGGAUAGACCGACAACAGUGUGGGACAUUUGGGAGUCUCGCCAACCUACUGGUGGACCAUGGGAUGCUAGUAGACUGGUCAGACAAGUUGGACUCCCGUGGGGUGAAAAUGGGACACAACUUUGUGUCCAUACAUAAUGAAAUAGGGUUCCCCGAGAGCAAGGGGAGCCAGAAGGCUGCUGCCCACCUUAGUAAAGCAGCAGUGCGAGACAAACUUACAGAAAGAGAAAGAGGUAAAUACUUUGAGAAAUGAAAUGGAAAUGCUAAACUAACUGUAUGUCAUGGUAGCGUAGCUGUCAAUGUGACCCUAUUACUAUUUGGGGCUUUGGAGUUCGGAGUUCAUUUUGAGGGUCCUCUGUAAGCAAGUUUGUAUGUUCCUUCCAAUCUGCAUGCAGGUUUCCUCUCACAGUUCAAAGAUGUACUGGUUAACUGGUCAUUGUAAAUUGUCCUGUGGUUCGGCUAGGGUUAAAUUGGGGUUGCUGGGCAGCGCGGCCUGAAGAUCUGGAAGGGCCUUUCCCGUGAUGUAUCUCUAAAUAAAAUCAAAUAAAUGUGCUACCGGGGAGUCUGCCUAGUCAGCACAGACUAGCGGGAAAGUACAGGGAUAGCCGCCGACUAGUAAUAGUGUAGGAAUGAAAGGCUGCCCACGGGGCUAACUGGUGACGAGACCUCGUUAAGGUCCGAGCCCUGAUGCUGCAAGGAGGUGACUCCAACAUGUGGAUGGGAGAUGAGGACAUUUAGUUAGAUAGUGAGGAUGAGGAAGAGAGGUUCGAAGAGAGCCUUUUGGUACUCCCCUCUCCAAGAGUGAGCACCCUUCCCCUGUGCACCCAUGACAAUUAAGGCCAGACCAGUAGCUACGUUGUCUCAGGCCCUGCAAAAGGGACACUGGCCCACUGCCCCUCCAGCCUCCAUGGAACAGGGUGAUGAAGAGGAGCAAGCUGGUGCAGAGGAACAGCAUGAGGGAGAGGGACCUGGGGAGGACAACACCGUGUUUCACCAAGAUGACUAACAACAGGGAGUUCUCCAUUGAGGAAAGAGGAUGUGAUUAAAUUUCUGAAAUGUUUUAUUACCAGCUCUGCACAGACUUUUAGAUAGCCAAUUAGUGAUGGUAGUACAUAUAUAGGGUCAAUGAUAGGUUAGUAAUUGGGGAGGGGAUCUGAAGUGAAGGGCAUUUUUGCUGCCCUACCUAAUUAGAUCCUCCAUAAAGUUUGGUCUUCCAGGGAUAGGUUUCUGUCCAGAGGCCAAGAGGAGGAGGAGGGUAUAUUAGGAAGUAUUCUGGAGUUGUGUGAAUAUAGCAGAUAUUAAUUCAAACAAGAACCAAUCUUCAGUUUUAUUGUAGAAUGUAAAUUGAAAACAGUAAAUUGAAGUUAUAUCACACACAAAAUGCUGGAGGAACUCAGCAGGCCAGCCAGCAUCCAUGGAAAGGAGUACAGUUGAGGUUUUGGGCUGAGACCCUUCAGCAGGACUGCACUCCUUUCUGUAAAUGCUGCCUGGCCUGCUGAGUUCCUCCAGCAAUUUGUGUGUGUUACUUGGAUUUCCAGCAUCUGCAGAUUUUCUCUUGUUUUGAAAUUGAAUUUAAAAGCAUACUUUUGUAAGAUAGUGGCCAUAAGAGGUUUGCAUAUGAAUCAGUCAAAUGCCAAAACAAUGUAGCUCAAGAAGGUUGGUGGACUACUGCAGUACGCUGGCCAGCAAAUGAUAAUUCUGGGUGUCAUAGUGUUAUGUUUUGUGGAUAGCAUGGUGGAAUAUCCACUGAGAUUAUACUCGUAAUUAGCUCUUCAGGCCUGUGGAGGGAGCCAGAGAGUUUUGGGUGCUGAGGUUUCUAGAAUAGAGCACCUGUAUUUCUUAAUUGUAUUAAUGAGUCAUUAAGCUCUGGUGCUUUCUGUUUAAUCUUGUUAAAACUUAAUUUGACUAGCUCAGGUUUUCUGUGUUCUGUGAUUAUUUAAGCAGAUUCCCGAUUAGCACUUAUCACUG
This is an RNA transcript of Hypanus sabinus (Atlantic stingray), 10926 nucleotides long. It is a transcript of the gene named histone H2B 1/2-like, with no coding region annotated. The record is from RefSeq and is a predicted model, not a curated record. The transcript is spliced from 2 exons. Lineage: Eukaryota; Metazoa; Chordata; Chondrichthyes; Myliobatiformes; Dasyatidae.